GCGCUUGUGGUGUAGUGGUCAUCACGUCCGCUUUACACGCGGAAGGUCUCAGGUUCGAACCCUGACAAGCGCA
RNAcentral lists this transfer RNA (73 nucleotides) under Limulus polyphemus (Atlantic horseshoe crab). RNAcentral's name for it is "tRNA-Val". It matches the Rfam family "tRNA". Rfam says of the family: Transfer RNA (tRNA) molecules are approximately 80 nucleotides in length. Lineage: Eukaryota; Metazoa; Arthropoda; Merostomata; Xiphosura; Limulidae. The record is from RNAcentral.